UACGUAGGGGGCAAGCGUUGUCCGGAGUUACUGGGCGUAAAGCGCACGUAGGCGGCUUUGUAAGUUAGAGGUGAAAGCCCAGGGCUUAACCCUGGAAUUGCCUUUAAGACUGCAUCGCUAGAAUCGUGGAGAGGUGAGUGGAAUUCCGAGUGUAGAGGUGAAAUUCGUAGAUAUUCGCAAGAACACCAGUGGCGAAGGCGGCUCACUGGCCCGAUACUGACGCUGAGGCACGAAAGCGUGGGGAGCAAACAGG
RNAcentral lists this ribosomal RNA (253 nucleotides) under uncultured bacterium. RNAcentral describes it as "partial 16S ribosomal RNA". It matches the Rfam family "Bacterial small subunit ribosomal RNA", at positions 524 to 776 of the family's 1533-position model. The record is from RNAcentral.